GGUCUGGAGACUUGGCUCAGGUUUGGUCUGGUUUAGUCUGCAGACUUGGCUCAGGAUUUAGUCUGGUUUGGUCUGGAGACUUGGCUCUGGUUUGGUCUGGAGACUUGGCUCAGGUUUAGUCUGGUUUGGUCUGGAGACUUGGCUCAGGUUUGUCUGGAGACUUGGCUCUGGUUUGGUCUGGAGACUUGGCUCUGGUUUGGUCUGGAGACUUGGCUCAGGUUUAGUCUGGUUUGGUCUGGAGACUUGGCUCUGGUUUGGUCUGGAGACUUGGCUCAGGUUUAGUCUGGUUUGGUCUGGAGACUUGGCUCUGGUUUAGUCUGGUUUGGUCUGGAGACUUGGCCCUGGUUUGGUCUGGAGACUUGGCUCAGGUUUAAUCUGGUUUGGUCUGGAGACUUGGCUCAGGUUUAAUCUGGAACUUGGCUCUGGUUUGGUCUGGAGACUUGG
Molecule: long non-coding RNA, 444 nt
Organism: Solea senegalensis (Senegalese sole)
Lineage: Eukaryota; Metazoa; Chordata; Actinopteri; Pleuronectiformes; Soleidae
Exons: 3
Source: RefSeq, a predicted model, not a curated record